RNAcentral lists this ribosomal RNA (253 nucleotides) under uncultured bacterium. Its description in RNAcentral is "partial 16S ribosomal RNA". It matches the Rfam family "Bacterial small subunit ribosomal RNA", at positions 524 to 776 of the family's 1533-position model. The record is from RNAcentral.
GACGGAGGGCGCAAGCGUUAAUCGGAUUCAUUGGGCGUAAAGGGCGCGUAGGCGGGGAUAUUAGUCAGAUGUGAAAUCCCGGGGCUCAACUCCGGAACGGCAUUUGAAACUGUAUUCCUUGAGGGUAGGCGGAGAAAACGGAAUUCCACGUGUAGCGGUGAAAUGCGUAGAUAUGUGGAAGAACACCAGUGGCGAAGGCGGUUUUCUAGCUUAUUCCUGACGCUGAGGCGCGAAAGCAAGGGGAUCAAACAGG